UAAUACUUGCACUGAGAGGGGACUUGCUCAUCCAGGGUCCAGCAGUGCAUCCAGAACCCCAGUCACUUCAGUUAGCGGCAUGGUUCUUGAGAAAAACAACCUCUUGAAAUCGGGCCUGUCAGAGUCUGUCUCUAAUACUCUACUAAAAUCCAGGAAAUGCUCUACAUCAGCCUCCUAUUAUAAAAUAUGGGAAACGUUCUGCUCCUGGAUGGUGGAUAAGGGAAUUUCUUGUAAUGCACCUCGCGUGGCAGACAUC
Molecule: non-coding RNA, 256 nt
Organism: Pelobates cultripes (western spadefoot toad)
Lineage: Eukaryota; Metazoa; Chordata; Amphibia; Anura; Pelobatidae
Source: the annotation of a GenBank genome assembly